UGUGGCCCUUAUCGAAGCUGCAGCUUCUUCCACGUAGCUGCUGUGGUCAAAAAGGAGCCCAGAGUGACAGUUUCCCUUGACGGUCACUGCUCUGUUUGCUGUAACCGAUCUGCAACAUUUCAGGAAAAGACAGUU
RNAcentral lists this small nucleolar RNA (135 nucleotides) under Myotis brandtii (Brandt's bat). The record is from RNAcentral. Lineage: Eukaryota; Metazoa; Chordata; Mammalia; Chiroptera; Vespertilionidae.